This is a non-coding RNA of Aegilops tauschii subsp. strangulata, 1062 nucleotides long. The record is from RefSeq and is a predicted model, not a curated record. NCBI's taxonomy places the organism in Eukaryota, Viridiplantae, Streptophyta, Magnoliopsida, Poales, Poaceae.
ACCUCAAUCCCCUCGCACAGGAGCCGCCGCCAACCCUGCCCUCGACCGUGGCGCCGUCGGCGUCCCUCCUGUCGCUCGUGCCACCGCCGCCGGCGACCCUCGCACAGCCGCAGCCGCCUGCUCUCCUCUGCUGCCCCAGCGCCCCGAGCAUCGCCCCGUCGAAUAGGCGCUCCCCACGGCAGCGCCUCCUCCCUGGAUCAGCCACUGACGGCCAUCAACGCCGACGACCCAAUCCAUAGGAAGUCGUCCGCCGACGCCGAGGACGGAGAAGGUCCGGUGUCUAUAACUGUCGAUUCCGAAAGCUCAACAGGUAGCAGGCUGCACAAAAAUGUUGGGUGGGCAAGGAAUUGAAGGAUGGAAAAACUUUCGAGCUUCGCUGGAAUGAUUGUGGGCGUCCACGAUGGACGUUGCGGUGCAGGGACUUGUUUCAACAGCGGCAUUUUGAGGUCAUGCAUAUGAAGAUAGGAAAUACUGUUGAUGAGGUGGAGUUGAUCGGAAUGGGAUGUGUUUGGGAUCAUAUUGGGUUCCCCUGCUGCUAUCUCUGCACAGACGGUUGAGCGAGACCGCAGUUUUUUGUUCUUGCAGAUGCAUUCUUGGAUCAUUUCUUCUGACUAUAGUGAAUGCCUAAUCCUACGGUUAUAUGAGCAACAUUGUUUUGAUGAACUAGGCCGUGUGGUUUUCCAUCCCUGUAGCUUGAUUGCAUUCUUCAAAUGUGGCAAAGUAACGAUCGAGUUGCAUUUUUUUAUUUGUGGGGGUGUGUGUGUGUAUUGGGGGUUGUAUUGCUCGCCUUGUGGUUUACAGAAAUUUAGACGGGUGCAUGACCUUGUUGGGCGUUGUAUUGUCGGGGCUCCUGAAGAUUGAUAAAGUUGGGGCUGCUAGAUUGCACACCUAUUCUUGUCAUUGCCUCGUUAUAUAUUUUGUUGGUGCAUAAUACAAUGAGAUCACAAUUGCGCUAUGCAAAGAAUAAUGUUUGGUGGGUAAGUACAGUUCUGUCAUAGAUUCGAUCCGUGUUAUUCGAAAGGACAACAUUCCAAAAAAGUGGUCAACUUGUCUCGAACCGAG